Molecule: long non-coding RNA, 464 nt
Filed under: Lathyrus oleraceus (garden pea)
Lineage: Eukaryota; Viridiplantae; Streptophyta; Magnoliopsida; Fabales; Fabaceae
Description: Pisum sativum (pea) long non-coding RNA (PSAT_LNC027779)
Source: RNAcentral
AUUUAUCAAUAAAGUUUACUUUUUAUUCCAAAUAGAAGAUGACAUUGAAACAACAAACACAAACAUCUAACAUUACAACAACAAUUACUAAAGCAAAAACACAUACUGGAACAAGAACAAGUACUAAAACAAGAACAAGUACUACAACAAUAGCAAAUACACAAACAACAUCACAAACAACCCUUAAAAUCUAGGAAAUUACAACAGUUAACACUAUGUCGUCUGAUCCAUGCAUCAUUUGGAUGCAAUUAAUGUCGCUUUCAACUUCAACCCACGAACAUACCGUUUCUCCAGUUUCAAAUGAGAUACUUUUUCUAAGCCUCUGAAUCCUUCUGAUGACUUCACCAGGUUGGUAAUCUCCCUCUAACCAAGACAUCAAUGAUCUUUUUAGUUGGUCCAACGAACGGAUGUUCCAAAAUUUCAUCUCCAUUGGGGGUUUCACAGGUGAGAAAAUAACAUGCCCG